UGGUGGAGUGAUUUGUCUGGUUGAUUCCGUUAACGAACGAGAUCUCGACUCUUCAAUGACAGUUCGAUUGUAUUGCAGUUCAGUGCUCAAGCCUCUGGUUUCGACGCUGAACGAGAUCGUUUCUAGUACUCAAGGUGACGAUGCAUGUCUACAAUGCAUGGAAGUGCGAGCCAAUAGCA
This 179-nucleotide ribosomal RNA is filed under the name uncultured eukaryote. RNAcentral describes it as "partial 18S ribosomal RNA". It matches the Rfam family "Eukaryotic small subunit ribosomal RNA", at positions 1299 to 1458 of the family's 1831-position model. The record is from RNAcentral.